GGUUAAGCGACUAAGCGUACACGGUGGAUGCCCUGGCAGUCAGAGGCGAUGAAGGACGUGCUAAUCUGCGAUAAGCGUCGGUGAGGUGAUAUGAACCGUUAUAACCGGCGAUUUCCGAAUGGGGAAACCCAGUGUGUUUCGACACACUAUCAUUAACUGAAUCCAUAGGUUAAUGAGGCGAACCGGGGGAACUGAAACAUCUAAGUACCCCGAGGAAAAGAAAUCAACCGAGAUUCCCCCAGUAGCGGCGAGCGAACGGGGAGGAGCCCAGAGCCUGAAUCAGUGUGUGUGUUAGUGGAAGCGUCUGGAAAGGCGUGCGAUACAGGGUGACAGCCCCGUACACAAAAAUGCACAUAUUGUGAGCUCGAUGAGUAGGGCGGGACACGUGGUAUCCUGUCUGAAUAUGGGGGGACCAUCCUCCAAGGCUAAAUACUCCUGACUGACCGAUAGUGAACCAGUACCGUGAGGGAAAGGCGAAAAGAACCCCGGCGAGGGGAGUGAAAAAGAACCUGAAACCGUGUACGUACAAGCAGUGGGAGCCUCUUAAUGGGGUGACUGCGUACCUUUUGUAUAAUGGGUCAGCGACUUAUAUUCUGUAGCAAGGUUAACCGAAUAGGGGAGCCGAAGGGAAACCGAGUCUUAACUGGGCGUUAAGUUGCAGGGUAUAGACCCGAAACCCGGUGAUCUAGCCAUGGGCAGGUUGAAGGUUGGGUAACACUAACUGGAGGACCGAACCGACUAAUGUUGAAAAAUUAGCGGAUGACUUGUGGCUGGGGGUGAAAGGCCAAUCAAACCGGGAGAUAGCUGGUUCUCCCCGAAAGCUAUUUAGGUAGCGCCUCGUGAAUUCAUCUCCGGGGGUAGAGCACUGUUUCGGCAAGGGGGUCAUCCCGACUUACCAACCCGAUGCAAACUGCGAAUACCGGAGAAUGUUAUCACGGGAGACACACGGCGGGUGCUAACGUCCGUCGUGAAGAGGGAAACAACCCAGACCGCCAGCUAAGGUCCCAAAGUCAUGGUUAAGUGGGAAACGAUGUGGGAAGGCCCAGACAGCCAGGAUGUUGGCUUAGAAGCAGCCAUCAUUUAAAGAAAGCGUAAUAGCUCACUGGUCGAGUCGGCCUGCGCGGAAGAUGUAACGGGGCUAAACCAUGCACCGAAGCUGCGGCAGCGACACUAUGUGUUGUUGGGUAGGGGAGCGUUCUGUAAGCCUGUGAAGGUGGCCUGUGAGGGUUGCUGGAGGUAUCAGAAGUGCGAAUGCUGACAUAAGUAACGAUAAAGCGGGUGAAAAGCCCGCUCGCCGGAAGACCAAGGGUUCCUGUCCAACGUUAAUCGGGGCAGGGUGAGUCGACCCCUAAGGCGAGGCCGAAAGGCGUAGUCGAUGGGAAACAGGUUAAUAUUCCUGU
This 1400-nucleotide ribosomal RNA is filed under the name Escherichia coli. RNAcentral describes it as "partial 23S ribosomal RNA". It matches the Rfam family "Bacterial large subunit ribosomal RNA", at positions 1 to 1442 of the family's 2925-position model. Lineage: Bacteria; Pseudomonadati; Pseudomonadota; Gammaproteobacteria; Enterobacterales; Enterobacteriaceae. The record is from RNAcentral.